Molecule: long non-coding RNA, 720 nt
Filed under: Zalophus californianus (California sea lion)
Lineage: Eukaryota; Metazoa; Chordata; Mammalia; Carnivora; Otariidae
Description: lncRNA (ENSZCAG00015021743.1)
Source: RNAcentral
GGAGGCUGGAAAUGGACUGAUGGACCCCAAAGACAAAGCAGGCGGUCCUUCCGUGAGCACCCGGAGGAGAUGCGUUUACAGGCACCAGGGAGUAUGCAGUGGGUUCCCAGAAUGACUGAACAAGAAGCCUGCACGGAGAGGGAGGAUGCUGAGUGUUGGAAGCAGUCAGAAGCAAGAAAACAAAAGCUGCAGGCAUCCCAGCUCCUCCGCGGAUGCUCUGAGUCAUCUUCGUGUUUCUCCUUAAAGACCGACUUCCUCCACAUGGUGAGACAGAUGGCCACCAAGAGCUCCCAAGUUUUAAAGAGAAUGACUUCCCCGACAAGAGGAACAGAGGGCUCCGGCUGUCCUCCUUCACCUGCCGCACUGCACAUUCAAAAGAUCCUGGGGGCUCCUCAGCUGGGGACAGAAGCUGCCUCAGGUAUAUAGGUCAGCAUGGCUCACUCUCCGGGGGUCUUUCAGUCUUUGGGGGAAAGAGAUGGGCAUUUAGAGCUUAGCUGUCCCGUAUGGUAACUGCAAGCCACAUAUGGCUAUUUACAUUUAAGUGAAUUAAAAUUACAUUUAAUUUAAAACUUGGGUCCUCAGUCACACCAGAUGCAUUUUGCAUGUCAAUAGCCACGUGUAGCCAGGGGCUGUUGUGCUGGACAGUACAGCCAUAGGACACGUCCAUUAUUGCGGGAAGUCCUACUGGACAGCGCCAUUCCAGGAAUGGCUGUGUCUCGG